RNAcentral lists this long non-coding RNA (1342 nucleotides) under Marmota monax (woodchuck). Lineage: Eukaryota; Metazoa; Chordata; Mammalia; Rodentia; Sciuridae. The record is from RNAcentral.
CCUCCCUAAUUUCCUUCUGCAUCCCCCUUCCAACCCCUCUCUGAUGUCUGGUUCCAAGCCAUGUGUCACUAAUUCUCCCCCCUCCCACAUUCACCUCUCUCUCCUGGACCCCUCUCAUUUAUGUCCCCAUGCAACCUUCCCUUCUGGACCCACUCUGUCUGCCCAGCUCUCCUCUCUACCCUUGUGUCUGUCUUGAGCUCAAGCCAUUAUCUGUCUGGGCUUUGUUUCUGCAUCCCUUUAUCCUCUUCUCCUGCUGUUUCUCUUUGGAAGCUAUUUCUGCUCACACUGCCACCUGCCCCUCAUUGCUGCCCCUCUGUCCAUUUUUCAGCUCCUACGAAUUACAUACCAGCUCAUAUUUUUGUCUCUGUCCAGCCCAAGUCACAAUUCUUGACUUCCCCUCCAUCUGUCUGUACCUCUCUCCUUCUCCUCUGGUCUCCAGGUUGCCCUCUCCAUUAUCUCUGUCUCUCCUCCCAUCAUCUCUCCCUUCCCUCAACUUGGUUCCCGUCUCUGCAUCCCCAUCCCUCCCCAUAAUUCACCAUACCUAUCACCUCUUCUCCUCUGUUUUCCUGGUCCUCUAACUGCCCGCCCCAGUCUGGUUCCUUCUCCUUCCUCUGACCCUCUAAGCACUUUCCAACCUGAAGCCCUUGCUCAUGCUGUUCCUGCUGCCCAAAAUGCUUUGCCCUGCUCUAACCUCAUUGCCCACUACUCAUGGCUGGCUCCAUCUUGUCCUUCAAGUGCCAGAGAGCCCUCCCUAACUGUCCCCUUCUUGGUUCCUUUGUGGCCCGUCCUCCAGCUGUUUCUUUUGAAGUGGAGCGUGUCUUCUUGUUGGUGUUGGUUUGUUUACUUGUUUGCUCUUUGUCUCCUGUCUUUGGAUUGUGACACUGAGGGGCCCCCGUACUUUGUUCUCUGCUGGAUCUUCAGCAGCCGGCACAGAGCCUGGUGUGUAGUUGGUGCUUGGUGAAGAUGUGUUGGAAGAAUGAAUGAAUGAUGAAUGGCCGUCUCCUCAUGGGUCCGUCCCUAAUCUCUGUCCCUUCCUCUGUGCAGCCCUAAUCUCUGUCUCCUUGUCUGCCCAUCCCUUUAUUUGUGCAUCCUGACUCUGCCCCUUUGCUGACCUUCCCAUUCUGCCCCUCCAGGUCCACUUGUCCCUGUCCUCGGUCGCCUUGUCCACUCACGCCUCUCUCUGCCUCCUUAGUGUGUCCAACCCAUGUCUCUUAUCUUCUUGUCUGUCCACCCCUGACUUCUGUCCUCUUGUCUAUCUGCUCCUAAUUUUCUUUCCUUGUCCAUCUCUCCCUCAUGUUUGUGUUCUUGUCCUUCUUCCUCUGAUCUUGGUCCCUGAUUCACC